GACGAACGCUGGCGGCGUGCUUAACACAUGCAAGUCGAACGGAAAGGCCCUGCUUUUGUGGGGUGCUCGAGUGGCGAACGGGUGAGUAACACGUGAGUAACCUGCCCUUGACUUUGGGAUAACUUCAGGAAACUGGGGCUAAUACCGGAUAGGAGCUCCUGCUGCAUGGUGGGGGUUGGAAAGUUUCGGCGGUUGGGGAUGGACUCGCGGCUUAUCAGCUUGUUGGUGGGGUAGUGGCUUACCAAGGCUUUGACGGGUAGCCGGCCUGAGAGGGUGACCGGCAGCAAUGGGACUGCGAGACGGCCCAGACUCCUACGGGAGGCAGCAGGGGGGAAUAUUGCACAGCGAGCGGAAGCAUGAUGAAGCAACGCCGCGUGCGGGAUGACGGCCUUCGGGGUGUAAAGCGCUUUCGCCUGUGAAGAAGAGUGAGUGACGGUAAUGGGUAAAGAAGCACCGGCUAACUACGUG
This 468-nucleotide ribosomal RNA is filed under the name uncultured bacterium. Its description in RNAcentral is "partial 16S ribosomal RNA". It matches the Rfam family "Bacterial small subunit ribosomal RNA", at positions 28 to 507 of the family's 1533-position model. The record is from RNAcentral.